RNAcentral lists this ribosomal RNA (497 nucleotides) under uncultured bacterium. RNAcentral describes it as "partial 16S ribosomal RNA". It matches the Rfam family "Bacterial small subunit ribosomal RNA", at positions 28 to 507 of the family's 1533-position model. The record is from RNAcentral.
GAUGAACGCUGGCGGCGUGCCUAAUACAUGCAAGUCGAGCGAACAGAUGAGGAGCUUGCUCCUCUGACGUUAGCGGCGGACGGGUGAGUAACACGUGGAUAACCUACCUAUAAGACUGGGAUAACUUCGGGAAACCGGAGCUAAUACCGGAUAAUAUAUUGAACCGCAUGGUUCAAUAGUGAAAGACGGUUUUGCUGUCACUUAUAGAUGGAUCCGCGCCGCAUUAGCUAGUUGGUAAGGUAACGGCUUACCAAGGCAACGAUGCGUAGCCGACCUGAGAGGGUGAUCGGCCACACUGGAACUGAGACACGGUCCAGACUCCUACGGGAGGCAGCAGUAGGGAAUCUUCCGCAAUGGGCGAAAGCCUGACGGAGCCACGCCGCGUGAGUGAUGAAGGUUUUCGGAUCGUAAAACUCUGUUAUUAGGGAAGAACAAAUGUGUAAGUAACUAUGCACGUCUUGACGGUACCUAAUCAGAAAGCCACGGCUAACUACGUG